This 59-nucleotide transfer RNA is filed under the name Dryopteris dilatata. RNAcentral's name for it is "partial tRNA-Leu". Lineage: Eukaryota; Viridiplantae; Streptophyta; Polypodiopsida; Polypodiales; Dryopteridaceae. RNAcentral also lists the same sequence under 3 other names. The record is from RNAcentral.
UUCGAUUCCCUCUAUCCCCAACGAGACAAUUUAGUUAACCCAUUUAAGGUUGUUUGGAU